RNAcentral lists this long non-coding RNA (2920 nucleotides) under Homo sapiens (human). RNAcentral describes it as "HSALNT0323308". Lineage: Eukaryota; Metazoa; Chordata; Mammalia; Primates; Hominidae. The record is from RNAcentral.
CUGCUGCCACUGGGCUACUUAGUACUUUCCCGGGUAGAAGUGACUGUGCCACCAAUUUUCUGUGUGGCCUUCACUAAAUCAUUCUCGGUCUUUCUUUCAUAUCUUUGCAGUAUAGUAGGAUUAUUUUUAAAUAGUCCCCUUUAAAUAUUUUUAAAAUGUGCCCAUGCUAAUAAAUUCAUUCUUUAGUCUUUCAAGAUUGUACAUUUGAACAUCUGAAUAUCACUAAUAUUACUCAUCUGUUAUGCUGUUCCAUCUCUUGAGAUACUGUAUCACUAAAUGUGAUACAAUUUAGAAACAUUAUAUCAUAUGGUGAACAACACUAUAAAGACGACUUUUCAAAUUUCUAUUAACAUAGGCCUAUAACUGAAGAACUAAACAUUUUUGAAUAAAUAAUGUUGCCAAUAACAUUUUCUACAUAUUUUGGUCUUGCAAUCAAUGUGAGGAAUGCACAGUUGGAUCUGGAUACUCAGAGCAAUUUAUUUCCUCUUACAAGUCUACCAUUGAUAGUUUAAAUGCUAAUGGCCAAGAUAUACAAGCCAAAGGGUCCGUGGUGUGAAUGCAGGGCUUGCCUGAUCACCAGACUCCCUUCCCAACCUCUCCUCUGAAGAAGGAGAAAGUUCUUGAAAAAGCUCAAAAAUGCGUUUUGGCAAGCACAAGAGAUGCAGCCUAGCAGCAUGAAUUAAGAGACUUGUGACCGUGGAAAAGAACUGUAAAUUUUAAAUGGCUUUGGCCCUUCUUAGCUUUUGACCAGCUGACCUUGACAUUCCUUAGAGGCCAAAGGAUAAGAUGCAGUGAAGACAGUGCUGCCUAGCCAUUUCCCCUCAGGGGGCAGCACCAGUCCUUCCAGCAGUGGAUGAAGUCUAUCCAGUGUGUCUUGGGGAGAACUGUAAUAAAUGAGGCUCCCUCCCUGAGAAAUGACUAAAACCACGAAAAUAAAUUCUUAGAUGAAACAGUUCAAUUAUCUAAUGUAAUUACUCCUAAGGAAAAAAUGAGAGAAAUUUAUCAUAGCUACAUGAAGUUUCCAAUGUGGUUAUAUAUGACUGUGUAUAGUCAACAGUUAUUCAUCUGGCGUUCUGUCAAACAGAGUUUUCUAUAAUAUGGUAUCUGUGACUGUUUCCAAUACAAUAAAAAUGCUGCAAAAUCUUGAAAUGCUUUUCAAAAGAAGAAUACUUUAUAGUAUAGUGUGUACAGCUGUAGUAUUGAGCUUAUUUUGCUGUACUUUAUUAAUCUUUUCCAAAACAUGUAAAUAAUGAAGUUUGUUGCACACCACAUCUGGAUUUCAUGAUUAUACUGUAAGACUUAUAUAGUAGAUGGCCCUUCAUUUAGGGAAGUAGUAUAUACACCAGAAUAUGCCUUUUCUUUUUAAGAUUUAAACAACGGAAAAAGCCACUGAAGUAUGUAUAGUAUCUGUGCGCCGAGAUACACAGGAAAGCAUGGAACAUGUGGAUGGAAGGAACCGGGAUCAUCUCAUCCAGCUGAGUAAUAAGUACGUUUGGUGCAGUGCCACACAGGAGGCCACCAACAGAGCCCAGAGUAGUAACUAGGUUGCUUCACUCUUAGCCUCUCAAGUGAUGACACCAAGGCAUGAUCUUAUCUCUUGAUUGUGGCCACCCGUAAAGAAAAGCGUAUCUCUAAUCUCAGAAGCACAAGGAGUUCAUACCAGGAAACCAAGAUUACUAAGUCGGCCAGAGCAUUCUAGAAAUCACCUUAAAAACGCAUCCCUCUUCUCCUACUGGAGUUUAUACAAUGACAAAAAUCUGAUCUGGCUUUUUCAAAAAGCAAACAACAAAACAUCCAAACAACAUAACCCUGAGUCUUUAACAGAAAGCUGGUGCUUGCACCAGGGGCGUGCAGACGUCUGGAACGCAUUACAAUCAGCUCCCUAAGGGGCAGCUUAUCUCUUCCUCUGAUGCUAUCGGUUUGCCAAGGAAAGUUAAAGACAAAAGUCAACUGUUGCACCCAGUUGGAAUGUGAACAUGUGGGAGAACCUGAAAUAUACUAAGACUAAUUUAUGUUCCGAUGGGAGUGGCUCUCAUGGUAAGGACUGAAGCAGUAUAUCCUGCUUUUUUAACGAAUUUUUUAACGAAAAAAAUUCUCACAGCCUGCAGGAAGAGCUACAAAAUAACCCCCUCUCAUCUUUACUGACUGUAGUUAGUACUCUCGUGUUGCAUUUUAGGGAAAGUUCAUUUGUGUCUGCAGUGGACUUCGAAGUUAAUCAUACCACAAAACUGUAGAGAAUGAACAUCUUGAAAUUAUUUCAGAAAUAAGAGCUCCAGGUAGCCUUUGAGAUUGGUAAAGUUUAGAAAUAAAGUAUACUUACAAAGCUGCAUCUUAUGACGUUGCAAAAGACUGAUUUAGGAUCAUUAUUUGGUGUGAAAUACAUUUUGCCAAUGUAAGCCUUUCCUUUCAACUGUUUAAGGCAUAGAAUACUAGUACAUUCUACAUUUAAUGUUUGAAUUCUACCAGUUUUAGAGCUCAGAACUCAAAUUAGCAUCGUUCUAAGUUUGACAAUAACCCUCUUUUUGCUUUUAAUAGUGUCUCCCUUCAUGUACUGAGUGUGCCUACGUUUUCCUCGAAUUGUUUUCUCAUCAGUGGUGGUGUGAGAAGCCUUCUUUUAGGAGAAAAAACACAGAACACCACCAAGUAGAUCUGUGUCUAAGAUGGCCAGUGCAUUCGGCACACUCUCUGGGCUGACAGGCACUGAACAAUGGCUCUUGCUCAAUAGGCCUGGUUUCCAGUCACUGACAACAACGAUCAGUACCUUCAAUCUCUAAAUUACACAAAUUUACAGCUUUGAUUUUUAGUCUUAGAAGCCAUCAAGGACAGGCCCCAGGACAAAACAAAGUGGCUGGCUCCCAUCUGCUGAGUAAGCAGAAGGGACAGUGGAGGAGUUCCUCUCAGUUUGCUUCACUUUCACUUU